GAGUUUGAUCAUGGCUCAGAUUGAACGCUGGCGGCAUGCCUUACACAUGCAAGUCGAACGGCAGCACGGGGGCAACCCUGGUGGCGAGUGGCGAACGGGUGAGUAAUACAUCGGAACGUGUCCUGUAGUGGGGGAUAGCCCGGCGAAAGCCGGAUUAAUACCGCAUACGAUCUGUGGAUGAAAGCGGGGGAUCCUUCGGGACCUCGCGCUACAGGGGCGGCCGAUGGCAGAUUAGCUAGUUGGUGGGGUAAAGGCCUACCAAGGCGACGAUCUGUAGCUGGUCUGAGAGGACGACCAGCCACACUGGGACUGAGACACGGCCCAGACUCCUACGGGAGGCAGCAGUGGGGAAUUUUGGACAAUGGGGGCAACCCUGAUCCAGCAAUGCCGCGUGUGUGAAGAAGGCCUUCGGGUUGUAAAGCACUUUUGUCCGGAAAGAAAACUUCGUCCCUAAUAUGGAUGGAGGAUGACGGUACCGGAAGAAUAAGCACCGGCUAACUACGUGCCAGCAGCCGCGGUAAUACG
Molecule: ribosomal RNA, 525 nt
Filed under: uncultured eubacterium WR171
Lineage: Bacteria
Description: bacterial SSU rRNA
Rfam family: Bacterial small subunit ribosomal RNA
Source: RNAcentral